This is a non-coding RNA of Cordylochernes scorpioides, 75 nucleotides long. Lineage: Eukaryota; Metazoa; Arthropoda; Arachnida; Pseudoscorpiones; Chernetidae. The record is from the annotation of a GenBank genome assembly.
UGUCCAGGGGCGGGAAUCGAACCCACACCCUUCUGCUUACCGGGCAGGUGCCUUGUCCACUCGGCUAAUGUAAGC